Molecule: ribosomal RNA, 495 nt
Filed under: uncultured bacterium
Lineage: Bacteria
Description: bacterial SSU rRNA
Rfam family: Bacterial small subunit ribosomal RNA
Source: RNAcentral
AGGAUGAACGCUGGCGGCGUGCUUAACACAUGCAAGUCGAACGGAGUGUAGACGCUGCAGAGAUUUCGGUCGAAGCUUGUUACACUUAGUGGCGGACGGGUGAGUAACGCGUGGGUAACCUGCCGUAUGCAGGGGGACAACAGUUGGAAACGACUGCUAAUACCGCAUAUGCGCACAGUACCGCAUGGUACAGUGUGGAAAGAUUUAUCGGCAUACGAUGGACCCGCGUUUGAUUAGAUAGUUGGUGAGGUAACGGCUCACCAAGUCGACGAUCAAUAGCCGGCCUGAGAGGGCAAUCGGCCACAUUGGGACUGAGACACGGCCCAAACUCCUACGGGAGGCAGCAGUGGGGAAUAUUGCACAAUGGGGGAAACCCUGAUGCAGCCGACGCCGCGUGAGUGAAGAAGUAUUUCGGUAUGUAAAGCUCGUAUCAGCAGGGAAGAUGAUGACGGUACCUGACUAAGAAGCCCCGGCUAACUACGUGCCAGCAGCGGC